GGAGGAGCAGGAACUAGCAGUAGUUUCACUUUGUCAAAAGGAGGACUGCAGCUCACCUGUGGACUCCACCAUGAUUGUUUGACUAUAAAAAGAGAAACUGUGUCUCUGCUGCUCCGAACUAUUCACACUUGAAUGAGAACAUGAAGUGACGCUGCAGUGGAUCUUCCCUCAUCCUUAAAGUGCAGCUGUGGAUAAUCUGUUGAAGAACCCACAUAUUUCAUGUCAUCUGGUGGAGCUUUAUCAAAGAUGUGUCAGCUUCAGUGUGAAAUAUGAUGCUGUUGACUAAAUCACAAGAAACCCAAGACCCAGCCUGUUUGUUUGAGGGAUAAUUAGAUGCCAACUGAAUCAGAGUAAACUCAGCUUCUCUGGGAUCUUUACAAAAUAAGCUCAUUAUGAGACUCUGAUGUUGAAACCCACAGAAAAGAGAAGAUGGAUGCUGUGAAAAUAUCCUGCUGGACUCUGGAGUGUGUCUGCCUCCUGCUGUCUGUAACUGCAGAUCAGAAAAUCAUCACAGCCGAGUCUGGACAGAACAUCACGCUGCCGUGUCGAGCUCCAAAUGAGAACAAAACCAUCACAGUAGUAGAGUGGAGCAGAACUGAUCUGGAGUCAGAACAUGUGCUUUUGUACCGAGAUGAACAGUUUGAACCAGAAGAGCAGCAUCCAUCUUUUAAGAACCGGGUGGAUCUGCAGGACAGACAGAUGAAGGAUGGAGACGUGUCUCUGAUUCUGAAGAAUGUGACGACUGCUGAUAGUGGAACAUACGAGUGUCGAGUCUUCAUGGGAAAAAAACGACGCAGGAAAAGAGCUAAGCUGAAUACUGACCCCAUCAGUGUCAUCAGCCUGAGUGUUGUUGUUCCUCCAGGUCAGACAAGAAGAUCUGUUGGAGUGAUGCUCAGUGUGUCACUUCUUGUUGCUGCUGUCAUUGGUUUUCUGAUCUACAAACAAGGAUCACCAACCUUGUCCUUGAACUGUCUCAGAGGUGUUCCAGCUAAUUCGUGAGCCUCCUGCUGCUGUUUCAGCUUCUCAGAGGUGACACAGAUCAUCCAGUGGAGAGACAGACGAGGACAUCCUGAAUUUGUUGUUCAGCAUCUUUGUGAAAGUCUUGAACAUUUUCCUUUGGACAUGUUGGACUUUAACUAAAGAUGCUUUCAGUCCAAAAGUCUUUUUCUUCCUGUUGUUUGGUGCAAAGCGUCGACGAUCGUCUAGAAAACAUUUUCAUCUUUAAUCCUGGUUUCAGGUGAAAGUUUGUCUUUAGCUCCUCACUGUCCUGAUGAGCUGCAUGAACACCAGCUGGAAGUCAGUUUGUUAAUGAGAAGUUUGGACUCUUUUUCUUUUAUAUAAACAUAUAAAACAUGUAAAUUACAGACGUGUCCUGUUUCCACUGUGAGUGUAGCUGUUAGCUCGUGACCUCCUGCUGAGCUGAAGCCUCAGACUGUUUCUGUAGUUUAAAUAGACGAGACAUCAUUCAUACAUCUGUGCGUGUUCAUUGUAUGCAGCUUUUAUUUAUGUCAGUUUGAGCACUGCAUGAACUGUGAAACUCUUUAUUUAUAUUACAGAUUUUAUUCUUUUAUGUUAUUAUUAAUGAUAAAAUGAGUGAGUUUUUCUGUACAGAUGAAUUUUCUUUGAUCAAAAACUUUGUGAGCUGAGUCUGAUGUUGUUUCCUGAGCAUGUCUCCUCCACUCUGCUCUUUCUACUGAGAAUGUGUUUAAUCAGUUUUUUGUUUCCAAUGUUUUUGACUGUAAAUAAAGUGUCUUCAGAUGUCUGCUGUUGUGUCCUGAAUAAUCUGAUCUGGAAUCAAUAAACAGUGA
This is a long non-coding RNA of Oreochromis aureus, 1808 nucleotides long. The record is from Ensembl. NCBI's taxonomy places the organism in Eukaryota, Metazoa, Chordata, Actinopteri, Cichliformes, Cichlidae.